AGGCUGCAACUCGCCUGCAUGAAGUUGGAAUUGCUAGUAAUCGCGAAUCAGAAUGUCGCGGUGAAUAUUCCCGGGCCUUGUACACACCGCCCGUCACACCAUGAGAGUCGAUAACACCCGAAGCCUGUGAGCUAACCGCAAGGGGGCAGCAGUCGAAGGUGGGGUUGAUGAUUGGGGUGAAGUCGUAACAAGGUAAC
Molecule: ribosomal RNA, 197 nt
Filed under: uncultured bacterium
Lineage: Bacteria
Description: partial 16S ribosomal RNA
Rfam family: Bacterial small subunit ribosomal RNA
Source: RNAcentral